This 3116-nucleotide long non-coding RNA is filed under the name Mytilus galloprovincialis (Mediterranean mussel). The record is from RNAcentral. Lineage: Eukaryota; Metazoa; Mollusca; Bivalvia; Mytilida; Mytilidae.
CUAAUUCACCAGAAUGUUCGGCUAACUACUGAAGGUCGAGUAAUUUGCAAUUACAGCAAAGAAAAAAGUGCAAUAAAGAUAUUUUUAGACAAAAAAAAAAAGAAAAAAAAAGAAAAGUAAUUAUAUUUGUAUACGUGGUCCUGCAUGUGGGGCGUAUAUUUUAGGUAUUUAAGCAAGCAUCCAGAAUUCUCUUCGCCAUAAACCAACCUACACUAUUCACGGUAAGACAAUGUUUAAUAUUUUUUUUUAAUCGGGAAUUGUUUAACAAAUAUUGAAAUUUGUUUAAACAAUGUUUUUUAAAAAUAAGAUAUAAUAAAUAAAUGUAACUUUUUGAAUCAAAUAUUCAUUUUCUGAAUUGCUACAAGAAUAAAGCUUCAAACUGCAAUAGGGAAAUCCCUACUUUUUGGCUUGGACUAUGUUUCCACUGGUUAUGAGUAGUUGAUAAUCAAAGGUACAUGAGAACGUCAGAACAUUCCAGUGGAUUUCGCCGCAAUAUUUUUUUUCUUUUAAAUUGGAUGCAUUAUCCAUAAAAGAAAUAGAUUCGAGGAAUAAGAAAAUAAUCAAUAAAGUAAAAUCAAAAUACUGUGUAACAGAUUAAAGAUGCAAUAUUGAUUUUCAACAAACAAGGUUAAGACGGUCUAAAUAUCAACACUUUUUAGUCCAGUGAACAAACUCUAUUUCAAAUGUUUUUUUAGGAAGAAUUGUAAUGCAUUACGUAUUCUAUAGAAAUUGUAAACAUUUUUUGAACCAAGUAUCCUUGUUUUUUAAUACAAUAAAUUGUAAAUUUGGAAGGGAAAUUUUUUCUGUUGAUUAUUCGUAAAUUAAACAUUAAAACCUUUCAUUUCAAAAACUAUAAAAAAAAAUAAUAAGGAUUGCUGUUUCAAGUAUAGGUUAUAGAAUUAUAAAGAAACAAGAAUGUGUCCCAAGUACACGGAUGCCCCACUCGCACUAUCAGUUUCUGUGUUCAGUGGACCGUGAAAUUGGGGUAAAAUUCUAAUUUGGCAUUAAAAUUAGAAAGAUGAUAUCAUAAGGAACAUGUGUUCUAAGUUUCAAGGUGAUUGGACAUCAACUUCAUUAAAAACUACCUUGACCAAAAACUUUAACCUAAAGCGGGAAGAACGAAUGGACGGACGAACAGACGAACGGACGGACGAACGAACGAACGACCAGAAAAAACAUAAUGCCCCUCUACCAUCGUAGGUGGGGCAUAAACAAUAAGGGUUGUUGAAACCCUCACAUACAACUAUUUCUAUUAUUUUGUAGAUGAUGAAAAGGAAUAUAAUGCUGGCUCUCCUCAUUACAGUUUUCGUACUGAACGGAAUUGGUAAUGCUUAUUUUUAUUUUUAUUUGUAUUCGUUUUUCUCGACUCCACUGAUUUCUUUUUUCCUAAAUAACAAUUUUUAAACAUAAUUCCUUGUGCUCUUUAAAUUGAUAAGUAGUGGUUGCGUCUGAAAAUAUUAAUUUUGCACGAAAGAGCUGACAUUUUACUAUCUUAAACCUUAGACAAUUAAAGAUUUUCUCAAAAUGUCCUAUACUUUGAAACCUGUUAACAGCUUUACAUUAAAGUUAUCAAAAACUGCAACUGACCUAAAUCGAAAUCCAAUAUUUCAAUGCUUCUGAAGAGCAAAAAAAAGACACAAUUUAUUUACGGCAAAAAAUAUUGCUAAUUGUAGUAACCACAACACUCAGAGAGACACCUAAAUCAGCAGUAACUCGGCAAUCUGGUAAAUGUGACAAGAAAGGUAAGAGUAAUUGUUAUUAAUGGUCUUUUGAUGAGCUUUAAAAAUCUACUUUACUUUAUUGACCGUUAUAUCAUUAUAAGAAUUUAGUGUUUUAUAAAUCAUUAGCAUGUGAAUACACAUGCAUACAUCUCCACUCAUCAUAAUGAUACAUAUACCAGCAAAAACAUCAAAGUAGUAUGUUAUGUCAAUCUGUAUAUAUAAAAACGAAGAUGUGGUAUGAUUGCCAAUAAGACAAUUCUCCACAAGACACAGACAUAAACAACUAUAAGUCACCGUACGGCCUUCAACAAUGAGCUAAGCCCAUACUGCAUAGUCACGUAUAAAAGGCCCCGAAAUGGCAAUGUAAAACAUAAAACAUUUCAAACGAGAAAAGCUAACGGCACUAUUUAUGUACAAAAAAUGAACGAAAAACAAAUAUGUAAUACAUAAACAAACGACCACCACUGAAUUACAGGCUCCUGACUUGGGAUAGCCACAUACAUACAGAAUGUGGCGGAGUUAAACAUGUUGGCGGGAUCUCAACCCUCCUCUAACCUGGAACAGCGGUAUAACAGUACAACAUAAGAACGAACUAUAAAAGGUUUAACUCAUCAGAUGGACAAAAAUACUACCUUCUUGCAACAAAUCGCAAAAUACAAUUGAAUAAAUUGUUGUCAUACUUAUAGGUCUUCCUAAUUUGAAAGUGCAUUUCGGCAUCCUUAAUCAAGUUUCUAUUUUCUGGAAUCUAUAUUUGAAUUGAAGUUACACGUUGGAAGCAUUGACACAGUUCGUCUUUUAACUAUAGUCAACAAAUAUUUUAUCGUAUCAUCUUUGUUUGGCCAAGUGCUAGUUAAUGUAAUAAUAUAAUUAUUCUAAUAAGACAUGAACACAGCAUCACAUACCCAACGAAAACCAGAUGUCAACAUCAAUAAACGAUUUUGUAAAAUCUGUCUAAAAAUAACCAAGCAUAUACACAGUGUACUAAUCGUAAAUAGUUUAUUAAAUUAUUACUAUUUGUACCUAUGUUCCUAUUAAUUUAAAAACACCAUUUUUAAAAAAAAUAACAUAAUAUUAUUUAAUGCUUGUGGAUGAAUUCAUUUUUAGGUCCAACGCCAUGUGCACAUGGAGCAUUCUAUGAAGAUACAUGUGACAAGACUAAAUAUUAUCACUGUGUAUGGAAGAAACCUGUGAAAAUGCCAUGUCCGGCGGGUCUUGUAUGGAAACAAGCAAUAACAACAUGCGACUGGCCAUAAAAGUUAUUCUAAUACUUGACUCUGGAAUAUUAGACUGAAAACCUUUAAUUAAGUACAAACUGUAACUAAAGCAUGAGUAACUUUUGUACUGAAUAAUAAAAAUAUUUCAAAAUUUUUCUUUUUUCUAUAGUCUGCUCUCGCG